RNAcentral lists this unclassified non-coding RNA (555 nucleotides) under Zea mays. RNAcentral's name for it is "misc RNA Zm00001eb398270". The record is from RNAcentral. Lineage: Eukaryota; Viridiplantae; Streptophyta; Magnoliopsida; Poales; Poaceae.
CCCGCGCGCGCCGCGAGCUGGGCGAGGAACUCGUGGUAGCAGCUCCAGGCCGCGGACCCGACGCAGAACCCGCCGCCGUGGAAGUACACCACGACGGGGCGCCUGGCUCCGUCCCCCGCCGACGUCGGCGCGUACAGCCGCGCCCACACCCCCGUCGCGGGGUCCACCACCACGUCCCUCGCGACGACGCCGCCCGGCGCGUCCGGGGCCGUGCCGCCCCACGUGCAGGGCACGGCUGGGAUCGCCGGGAGCCGCUCCACGUGUCCGUCCUUGUAGACGCGGAUCAGGCCGUGGAUCUCCUCGACGACGGCGCCGUGGCCGCCGUUCUUCGCGACGACUGCUGCAGGCUGCUGGCGGAAGCUGAUCCUGGGCUCGCCGACGACGUGCAGUGCCCCCAUCCUCCUCCUCCUCAUGCAAAGCUGCCGGCCUUCUCGCGGUCACGGGCGGCACGGCAGGCGGGAGGCGAAACGCGGCAGCCGGCAAGCUGCUUCGGCCGUGCGAUGUGUCACGUCCCGGGGCCCGGCGAGCGAGCACAAUUAUGCAGUCGUGUGACCG